RNAcentral lists this ribosomal RNA (184 nucleotides) under uncultured bacterium. RNAcentral describes it as "partial 16S ribosomal RNA". It matches the Rfam family "Bacterial small subunit ribosomal RNA", at positions 1309 to 1500 of the family's 1533-position model. The record is from RNAcentral.
AACCCGACUCCACGAAGUUGGAUUCGCUAGUAAUCGCGCAUCAGCCAUGGCGCGGUGAAUACGUUCCCGGGCCUUGUACACACCGCCCGUCAAGCCAUGGGAGCCGGGGGCGCCUGAAGUCCGGGACCGCGAGGACCGGCCUAGGGCGAAACUGGUAACUGGGGCUAAGUCGUAACAAGGUAGC